AGUCGUAACAAGGUAUCCGUAGGUGAACCUGCGGAUGGAUCAUUACCAAGGUCCAUUCCUACAUAUUGUGAACAGUGUGUUGAAAGUUUGUUGUCUGAUUUGUUGAUGGACUUUUGUAUGUUUUAAAGGGUACUUUACAGGUAGUCUUUGAAACAUGCCUUGGUUUAUUAACGUGUCAUAUAAACGGCUUUUACCACUACUCUAGAGUAUUUAUUUUUGCUGAAGUAUAAUAAAAAAAAAAUUUUUACAACUUUUAGCAACGGAUCUCUAGGUUCUC
RNAcentral lists this unclassified non-coding RNA (277 nucleotides) under fungal sp. RNAcentral describes it as "partial internal transcribed spacer region". The stretch from base 1 to 45 matches the Rfam family "Eukaryotic small subunit ribosomal RNA", at positions 1787 to 1831 of the family's 1831-position model. The record is from RNAcentral. Lineage: Eukaryota; Fungi.